GAAACCUAUUGGUCCACCGAUGGUUUUGCGCUUCCCCUCGUCAUCGUCCCCCGCCCGAUACCGUGUUCGUGAUGUACGACGAUUUCGCACCGGAGAAGCCACACGAGCCUUUCUCGGUUCGCCGCCGUCAUCCUCUCUUCUCUCUUGUCCUAUACCUCGCCUAAUCUUUGGUGGGAAGCCUGCCUCCGAGAUGAAACCCUAGCCCGCGGUCUCUUUCGUCCUCUUGACAUUUCGCUCCAAUCGCCGCAGUUCAAGUACGUCGUAGCUACGGUUCGAAUGGCGUGGAAAGAUUCGACCUCCUGUUGCUUUCUUGGUUGAAUUUGUUCGCAGUUCCAGGAGUGCAAAAAGGCGGUUUCGAGGAGCAGCAUGGGGAUGAUUUAGGUUCCCAAUUCGAAGAUAUCAUCGAUCACAUGUGGCAAGUGUGAUUUCCGUUGCUCUCAAUUGAUGAGGGAAGUUAUCAUUUACGGUCUGGACCUGGGCAGUCGGCAGUGAUAUCCUCCGAGAUAAAAACCUUAAGCUCCCGAGGUGUCAAUUGAAGACCGAGGUUGGAAGAGAUUUUGGUACUAGUGCGGACGUCGAUAGUCAAAAUAGAAGGCCAUUUUACAUAAGAAGCUUGUUUAGAGAGGUGUAUUCAUGGCAUAAUGGCUGGUGAGCAAAUGACUAGUGUAACAUGAUCAACUCUGCAAGCAAUGAGGUGCAUUAACCACAUUUGCAAAUAUCACAAAAAGAUCAAGGAAUUGCAAGGAGUUGAGGAGCAUCUGAAAAAUCAAUAGAAACUGAUAGGUAAGUUAUUGCCUGUAGCAGACAAAUUGAGCCUCUUUGUUCUUAAAUUUCUAUGCUGCUUGGGGAUUUUAAGCUUUUGGGUAUACAUUAAUCAUGCUUAUGUGUUGUUCUGGUUUGGAAUCUUUUACAUUGUUGCAUCUAAAUUAUUGAUAGUCCAAAACUUGGUCAUUUUAAUAUUUGCAAACUAGAGCAUACCAUUUUGGACAGUGGUUCUUAUGUGGAAUGACAUGGAUGCAUGAGGGGCCCAAAUUGUUCAUUUGUGUGGGGCAACCCUAGUAUGUUAUCUGACCAUAUUGGCUGACAUGCAAACACCAGAUAUAUCAUGGACCCUGUUAAAUACCAUGUUAGUUUAAUCUGAUAUGUGCAGGCAUAUAAAGGUGCUGGCAAAAUUUGAGUAGUUGCUUCUGGUUCUAGCAUGUGAAGUAGCAAACAAAUAUUUAAGUCUUCUGUCUUUGAUUUGUAUAUUAUUGUUCAAAAGAUGUGUUGCAAGUUAUUGUCUUCUGGCAUCCUUGUUUCCCAAAAAGACAAUACACAAUGGAUUUUUCUUCUAAUUAUUAUUGCUAUUUUACUCCGUAUUCCUCCAAAAAAUUUUAUGGCGUCUCUUGGAGCUAUUGUUGUCGCCUGAGCAGUCUUGCAUUAAGGGUGGUUGAUGUUAUGAUAAUGUUUGGGGUUCAUUCUGCUGAAGUUACUGGGCCAAUGGGCACAUAAACUCGUAGCUUGUGCAGGCCAUCCAUGAACAAACAUCUGACCGCACAAGGUUGUUGAAUUAUCUGCAGAUGGCCGAUGAUGAUUGGCAAAUAAGAUGUUUGGCUGCUGGUGCUUGCAUCGCCAUCAGAUGUCUGCAGACUGGUUCCAAGGGCAAACACUUGGAGCUGAUAUUACUCUUACAAUCAAUGGGCUAUGGGCUAUGGGAGGGGAGGACAUGACUAGGCGAGGACAGAUUUGACAUCGAAGACCUUCAAGAGAAGUAUCAAAUCUCAGCCAUGCGUGGCCUCAGAGUUCCGCCAUCAACACACCACAUGAUGCUGGCUCGUUAUUAUCGAUCACCAGCAAUUUUUCCACCGGUCUGUUCAAAUCAGUAGCGACGACCGCGGGUUGAUUUAAAAUGUGGUCAAGUCCAACUCGCACGCAUGGAAAAAGGGAAGAGAGAGAGAGAGAGUGAGAGAGAGUCCAUGAUCAACGUGGAAUACUGGUCGGAGGGCAUUUAUCACGGACACGUCGUUGUCCGAUCCCUUGUUGGUUUUGGAUGGAUGAGAAGCGUGAGUUGUGAGUGUAGAAGGCUUCUCAUCUACAAACCUUUUGGAUCCACUUUCUUAGGAGUACAAUGGUGAAGUGACGAUGAAGAUAAUGCAAUGCGUGUCAUGAGCUUGGGUAUUAAGAUAAUUUUGAAUGCUUAAUUAAGUUUGACCUCUAUGGUUCUCAUCA
This is a long non-coding RNA of Musa acuminata AAA Group (dessert banana), 2208 nucleotides long. RefSeq lists it as uncharacterized. The record is from RefSeq and is a predicted model, not a curated record. NCBI's taxonomy places the organism in Eukaryota, Viridiplantae, Streptophyta, Magnoliopsida, Zingiberales, Musaceae. The transcript has 4 exons.